AAGUCGUAACAAGGUCUCCGUAGGUGAACCUGCGGAGGGAUCAUUAACACGUUUUAAAACACGUUUUAACUAACACCAACCAACCACGUGAACUAUUUAACACUCCUGGAAGAGAAAGAAUUCUGUCUCCUCUCACUAAUGAUAAGUUUACAAGCAAUUGUGAACAGUGAGUUUAGACUAACAUUGCAGUUAAGAGCUGACUUGUAAAGACCUUUUUCUUUUGGGCUAAAUGCUCCUAUUAUCAUUCGAGCGAAAACAACCCCUUUCACCAUUUCUAUAACUAUUGACUGAUCUUUUUCUUUGCAACAUAAGAAAAAACCUAAUCAAAUAUCUAAGCACAACUCUUAGCAACGGAUAUCUUGGUUCUC
Molecule: unclassified non-coding RNA, 368 nt
Filed under: fungal sp.
Lineage: Eukaryota; Fungi
Description: partial internal transcribed spacer region
Rfam family: Eukaryotic small subunit ribosomal RNA (bases 1-46)
Source: RNAcentral